GGCGGCAGGCCUAACACAUGCAAGUCGAGCGGUAGCACAGAGAAGCUUGCUUCUUGGGUGACGAGCGGCGGACGGGUGAGUAAUGCAUAGGAAUCUGCCCGAUAGUGGGGGAUAACCUGGGGAAACCCAGGCUAAUACCGCAUACGUCCUACGGGAGAAAGGGGGCUCCGGCUCCCGCUAUGGGAUGAGCCUAUGUCGGAUUAGCUAGUUGGUGAGGUAAAGGCUCACCAAGGCAACGAUCCGUAGCUGGUCUGAGAGGAUGAUCAGCCACAUCGGGACUGAGACACGGCCCGAACUCCUACGGGAGGCAGCAGUGGGGAAUAUUGGACAAUGGGCGCAAGCCUGAUCCAGCCAUGCCGCGUGUGUGAAGAAGGCCCUCGGGUUGUAAAGCACUUUCAGCGAGGAAGAACGCCUAGCGGUUAAUACCCGCUAGGAAAGACAUCACUCGCAGAAGAAGCACCGGCUAACUCCGUGCCAGCAGCCGCGGUAAUACGGAGGGUGCAAGCGUUAAUCGGAAUUACUGGGCGUAAAGCGCGCGUAGGUGGCUUGAUAAGCCGGUUGUGAAAGCCCCGGGCUCAACCUGGGAACGGCAUCCGGAACUGUCAAGCUAGAGUGCAGGAGAGGAAGGUAGAAUUCCCGGUGUAGCGGUGAAAUGCGUAGAGAUCGGGAGGAAUACCAAUGGCGAAGGCGGCCUUCUGGACUGACACUGACACUGAAGUGCGAAAGCGUGGG
Molecule: ribosomal RNA, 732 nt
Filed under: Halomonas sp. OO-D6-8
Lineage: Bacteria; Pseudomonadati; Pseudomonadota; Gammaproteobacteria; Oceanospirillales; Halomonadaceae
Description: bacterial SSU rRNA
Rfam family: Bacterial small subunit ribosomal RNA
Source: RNAcentral